RNAcentral lists this long non-coding RNA (493 nucleotides) under Lathyrus oleraceus (garden pea). RNAcentral's name for it is "Pisum sativum (pea) long non-coding RNA (PSAT_LNC030625)". Lineage: Eukaryota; Viridiplantae; Streptophyta; Magnoliopsida; Fabales; Fabaceae. The record is from RNAcentral.
CCAUGAUGGUGUUUGGCAUGAUAUAUGAUGACUAUUUGGACAUGAAUGAACUCUCACAAACCAAUUCCAAUCAUCCAAUCACUGAUUAAAUGGACAGUUGACCAACAGUUGACUUUUAGGGUUUCUGACUGAUUGUGCAUUGACUGAUGACUUCCAAACCCUAAUUCCUUGAGGACUUGACUUCAAAUGAUGUCCCAAGUUGUAUGAACUCUUGAUUAUUGACCAUGGUGCCCAAAUUCCACAAGAAUGACCACCAUCCACUGCUUUGACUGACAAUUGACUUUUUUAGGGUUUUUGACUGUCUGUGUAUGAACUGAUGAUCUCCAAGUCUUCAACCCUUGACCAAAAUACUUCAAAUAGACCUCCAAGCCAUGUGAACUUGUUGGACAAACCCCAAGGCCUUGAUUCAAUGAGAAAUUCCUUUGCUUGCUUGGUUGACUGAUCAGGAGAUUAGUUUGACCUAAUUCUUGAUUGCUUGCUCUUGAGGCAACUG